RNAcentral lists this ribosomal RNA (497 nucleotides) under uncultured bacterium. RNAcentral's name for it is "partial 16S ribosomal RNA". It matches the Rfam family "Bacterial small subunit ribosomal RNA", at positions 28 to 507 of the family's 1533-position model. The record is from RNAcentral.
GAUGAACGCUGGCGGCGUGCCUAAUACAUGCAAGUCGAGCGAACGGACGAGAAGCUUGCUUCUCUGAUGUUAGCGGCGGACGGGUGAGUCACACGUGGAUAACCUACCUAUAAGACUGGGAUAACUUCGGGAAACCGUAGCUAAUCCCGGAUAAUAUUUUGAACCGCAUGGUUCAAAAGUGAAAGACGGUCUUGCUGUCACUUAUAGAUGGAUCCGCGCUGCAUUAGCUAGUUGGUAAGGUAACGGCUAACCAAGGCAACGAUGCAUAGCCGACCUGAGAGGGUGAUCGGACACACUGGGACUGAGACACGGCCCAGACUCCUACGGGAGGCAGCAGUUGAGAAUCUUCCGCAAUGGGCGGAAGCCUGACGGAGCGACGCCGCGUGGGUGAUGAAGGCCGUCGGAUCGUAAAACUCUUUUAUUAGUGAAGAACAUAUGUGUAAGUAACUGUGCACAUCUUGACGGUACCUAAUCAGAAAGCCACGGCUAACUACGUG